AUUGAACGCUGCGGCAGGCUUAACACAUGCAAGUCGAGCGAGCGACGGACGGGUGAGUAAUGCUUAGGAAUCGGCCUAUUAGUGGGGGACAACGUCUCGAAAGGGAAGCUAAUACCGACUACUAAUAGAUGAGCCUCAGUCGGAUUAGCUAGGUGGGGGGGUAAAUGCCUACCCAGGCGACGAUCUGUAGCGGGUCUGGGAGGAUGAUCCGCCACACUGGGACUGAGACACGGCCCAGACUCCUACGGGAGGCAGGAGGGGGGAAUAUUGGACAAUGGGGGGAAACCUGGUCCAGCCAUGCCGUGUGUGUGAAGAAGGCCUUAUGGUUGUAAAGCACUUUAAGCGAGGAGACGUUACUCGCAGAAUAAGCACCGGCUAACUCUGUGCCAGCAGCCGCGGUAAUUC
RNAcentral lists this ribosomal RNA (405 nucleotides) under uncultured bacterium. RNAcentral's name for it is "partial 16S ribosomal RNA". It matches the Rfam family "Bacterial small subunit ribosomal RNA", at positions 30 to 526 of the family's 1533-position model. The record is from RNAcentral.